UGGCUACCUCUGCCUCAAUUUUAUCCCACAACUUAGACAUUCACAUUACUCACACCCUCAUUACACAUACUUAUAGGAUCUUGGGGAUGGGCAUGAUACACGGAGUCCAAGUUACCAUCAGGGUGUACACCUCACCCCUGGCAUCGUUGCCCACCUCUCAAUUUUAAAUACACGUAGACAUUGAGGGCUAGCAGGAGGGACUACGCGCUUACCUGCUGCUCUCUGGCAGGUAGCUCCAUGCCCUCCUGGGUUUUAAUUGCACCUUAGAACACACAUGCAUCAACACUACAAUGAGCGGGUGGAGGGAGGUUUGGAGUCUUCUCUCACCCCCAUUCUCUGCGGCCUGCUGGAGCGGGGGGGCUAGGAGGAGUUGGCCGUCCGGCUGCGGUCUGGGGUGUGGGGCCUCCCUGCUGCUGCGGAGUCGGGGUGGUCUGCCUCUCGCCAUCGCAGGGAAAAGGGUAAUACCACCUUGGUCAGGGUGCAGUUCCCCCCUCCAGGGGCAAGGGUACCUAGACCCAGUUUGUAGAGUACGCUUGGGGAGUGUGAUCGUGUAUACAGCGUCUCUUUAUGUCUGUCUCCACGUCGGUUGAGUGUGAAGUGCACAUGAGAGCAUGAGGGUGGGAAUGGAUGUUUGUGUCUGUGUGUGCCUGUAUGUCUGUGUCUAUAUGUCAGGUUGGGUAUCAGACGCCACCUCUCUGGGGACAUCUCGGGCCCUCCAAGGUUUGGAGGACUUUCUCCACCCACCACCACUUCCCCUGCCGGUGGCGGACUCCCUCAGGUGUCGGUGCGUUGGUGGUUCUUUGUAUCUGGGGGUGGGCGUCCGGGUACACACCGGCUCACUCCUUGGCGGCCGCUUAUUGGGGCUCGCUCGGGCCACUUCGGAGGUGGGGUGCCCCCGGCCUCUCGGCCUGGGGCUCGGUCACUCAGGCACAGCUGGCUGCCGGCGGAGCUCACACUGCAACUCCCCCUGGCUUCUGCUCCGCGGCUGCUGAAUGAGCCCUCAUCUGGGACUCUUAUUAGCUCUUACUGGGACAGUGGCGCGGGCUGCCCCUCUGUGGGUCUUCCUUGGUCUCUUGUGUUCUGGGGGCCUCUGGAUGUCUGGAGUUUUGAUCUCCUCCAUGCCUGCUUGAUGCCAUAAAGGACGGGGCUGUGGCUCCACGGGUGAAGUGUCUUGCCCAAGGACGCAACAACCAGUUAAGGCAACCUUCCGAUUACAAGACGAACUGCCAACUCUUGAGCCACGAUCGGUACCACACUCCCUAGCAGAUCAUUACAUGGAGAAACCUUUGGAAUACAAGCAUGCUGAUCCACACAGGUAUGCACACAGGUGUACACACGGGUAUUCACAGACGCGGACUACAGCUUUCUUGGCUGCUGCCUCAAAGCACACUGUACGCUGUCUAUCUUGCGUGCUGCACAAUAUCGUUUAUUAUUUAGUAACUAUUGAUAUCUAUGGCUAGCUAGUUUAUUGUGAUGGUGCUUUUUUUUUCUUAUUAUGUUGCUCUUUGUUGUUUGCUUUCUCUUCUGUUUUUUUUUCUCCAUACAGGUGACCCAGGAGUUUUGUUUUUUUGUUUGUUUGUUUUUUUUUUCCUUUCUUCCCCCCCUUCUCACUGUCUCUUCUCCCCUUUGGUUUUCUUUCUCUCCCUCUCUUUCUUUCAUUAAAAAAAAACAAAAAAAAAGAAAAGAAAGUUUUUCCUGAAGAUGAAAAAGCAUCAGUUGUUACCGUUGUGUACCCUUCUGGGUGUCGUGUUUGCAGGACUUCUUCCUAAGCUCAGUGCUCAGGAAGGUAAGUUCAGUCAAGUCAAUCUCAUUAAAGAAGCGGCAGAAGUCAUUUUACAGAUGUUAAGUUUUCAUCAGCACUCAGUGGGAUUUUUAUUGUCUAAAAUAUUUAGUCUCUAUUUACACCUGCUGGACUGGUUAUUUUUAUUAUUGCAGUUAUGUUUUGGACCUGAAUUCAAAAAGUUCUUCUCAAUAUUGGGCAAAAUCUUUAAAAUAGACACAUCAGAAUAUAUGAAACUGUAUGUUUAUACUGUACUGUACUGUAUAAAAUAUGUCUAAGGGACAUACUCUAAUGCCCACUUGAGACAUCACACCAUAACUGGGACCCAGUUUUUGUUUGGCUGUAGUUUUUAUUAUAUAUAUUGUAUCUUAAGAGCUAUAUAUGUGCUGGGCCCUAAAUUAUUUAUAUUAUAUAUAAAUGACAUAUGUAGCAUUUCCAAACUGUUAAAAUGUGUAUUGUUUGCUGAUGAUACCACUCUGUACUGCUCAGGUAAAAACCUAGAACAGCUUCUGACUACAGCGGAAAAUGAGUUAAAUAUAUUAAAAAACUGGUUUGAUGUAAAUAAGUUAUCAUUAAAUAUAAAGAAAACAAAAUUGAUUAUUUUUGGCACUAGACAAAUGAAAAAUCUAUCUAAAAUAAGGGUUAAUGGAAUUGAAAUUGAAAGAGUGUACAAAAAUAAAUUUCUUGGAGUGAUAAUUGAUGAUAAGCUGAGUUGGAAGUCUCAUAUAAACCAUGUGAAAACAAAAAUGUCAAAAACCAUCGCUAUUCUCUAUAAAACAAAGCAUGUCCUGAACAAAAAAUCAUUAUACACACUUUAUUGUACUCUGUUACUUCCAUAUAUGACUUACUGUCUGGAGAUAUGGGGUAAUGCAUAUAAAACGAACACUCUUCCUAUUUUCAAGUUACAAAAAAGAGCUAUAAGAAUUAUAAACCAAUCAAACUAUAUAGAACCAACUAACAUUUUGUUUAUUAAUCUGAAUACCCUGAAAUUUUAUGAUUUAGUUGAAUAUAAAAUGACACAGAUAAUGUAUAAAGCACAAAAUAACUUGCUUUGCCCCAGUACUCAGAAGCUGUUCAAAGUCAGAGAGAGUCAAUAUGACUUAAGGGGAACAGAUUUCUUUAAAAAAAAACAAGAUAAGGACAAAUAUAAAGCAGAGAUGUGUUUCUGUUAGAGGAGUUAACCUGUGGAAUAGUUAUGACAGUGAUUUAAAAAGGUGUAGUUCAUUUUCCUUGUUUAAAAACAUGUUUAAAAAUAG
Long non-coding RNA from Astatotilapia calliptera (eastern happy), 3036 nucleotides. The record is from Ensembl. NCBI's taxonomy places the organism in Eukaryota, Metazoa, Chordata, Actinopteri, Cichliformes, Cichlidae.